GAGAAAGAGAGAGAGAGUAUAGGGAUAUCGAUUAAGCGUUUGAUGUUCACCGACUUCAUGUCAAAACGUUCUCGUGAACUUGAGCGUAAUAACAUCACGAGGAGUUUCUCGAGUUUAAUGGAAUAAAAAAAAGAAGAAAGAGAGAGAGAGAAAGAA
Molecule: long non-coding RNA, 156 nt
Filed under: Polistes fuscatus (common paper wasp)
Lineage: Eukaryota; Metazoa; Arthropoda; Insecta; Hymenoptera; Vespidae
Description: uncharacterized LOC122517531
Source: RNAcentral